ACGCUUUGUGGUUCAACUGAUUUGAAGAGCUUGCUCAGAUAUGACGAUGGACAUUGCAAAGAGUGGCGAACGGGUGAGUAACACGUGGGAAACCUACCUCUUAGCAGGGGAUAACAUUUGGAAACAGAUGCUAAUACCGUAUAACAAUAGCAACCGCAUGGUUGCUACUUAAAAGAUGGUUCUGCUAUCACUAAGAGAUGGUCCCGCGGUGCAUUAGUUAGUUGGUGAGGUAAUGGCUCACCAAGACGAUGAUGCAUAGCCGAGUUGAGAGACUGAUCGGCCACAAUGGGACUGAGACACGGCCCAUACUCCUACGGGAGGCAGCAGUAGGGAAUCUUCCACAAUGGGCGAAAGCCUGAUGGAGCAACGCCGCGUGUGUGAUGAAGGGUUUCGGCUCGUAAAACACUGUUGUAAGAGAAGAAUGACAUUGAGAGUAACUGUUCAAUGUGUGACGGUAUCUUACCAGAAAGGAACGGCUAAAUACGUGCCAGCAGCCGCGGUAAUACGUAUGUUCCAAGCGUUAUCCGGAUUUAUUGGGCGUAAAGCGAGCGCAGACGGUUAUUUAAGUCUGAAGUGAAAGCCCUCAGCUCAACUGAGGAAUUGCUUUGGAAACUGGAUGACUUGAGUGCAGUAGAGGAAAGUGGAACUCCAUGUGUAGCGGUGAAAUGCGUAGAUAUAUGGAAGAACACCAGUGGCGAAGGCGGCUUUCUGGACUGUAACUGACGUUGAGGCUCGAAAGUGUGGGUAGCAAACAGGAUUAGAUACCCUGGUAGUCCACACCGUAAACGAUGAGUGCUAGGUGUUUGAGGGUUUCCGCCCUUAAGUGCCGCAGCUAACGCAUUAAGCACUCCGCCUGGGGGAGUACGACCGCAAGGUUGAAACUCAAAGGAAUUGACGGGGACCCGCACAAGCGGUGGAGCAUGUGG
Molecule: ribosomal RNA, 926 nt
Filed under: Weissella sp.
Lineage: Bacteria; Bacillati; Bacillota; Bacilli; Lactobacillales; Lactobacillaceae
Description: bacterial SSU rRNA
Rfam family: Bacterial small subunit ribosomal RNA
Source: RNAcentral